RNAcentral lists this long non-coding RNA (5580 nucleotides) under Homo sapiens (human). RNAcentral's name for it is "non-protein coding lnc-MPLKIP-5:4". Lineage: Eukaryota; Metazoa; Chordata; Mammalia; Primates; Hominidae. The record is from RNAcentral.
AGCGACUUCCUGUCCGUGGGCUGAGAGGAGGGUGAUCAUGGGCCUGGGCCGCAGAACAGUGGCUCGGAGGGCGCAGGCUGCCCGGCCUCCGCCCCCUGCAAGCUGAGGGCUGUCCGCGCUGUCUUUCCGACGGCCCCACCCCCGGCUCUCUGAGCUCCGCGAGGUGAAGUCAUCUCCCGGGGGCUCGGGAGUGGCCGCGGGCCUCGCGGAGGUUCCCGGAUCUCGGCGUCGUUGCCGCGGUGUCCUUGUCUUUCUUUUGGGGACCAGGAGGGGGUUCUUGGGGGAAGGAGGGGAGAGCGGAGGCCGCCAUCUUGCUUCUAGAGGGUCAGCUCAUGUUCCCUGGGCGUCUCAGGGUUGAGGCCGCUCGUGUGGCGUGGCCGGGGGUAUUCAGAGCGGAGCUGGCGACGUGGCUUGUCACGGGCCAAAUCCCAGGAGGCGGGUCAGCCGCCUACCCUGGCUGGAGGGUCUCGUGGCUGCCCUGGGCCUCAUCUAACUGCUGAUCCCCUGGAGAAUUCGCUUUCUCGGACGGUCUGCGAGUUCUUUCUGAGGGGUGUCGGACCCCCCUGCGACUCUGCAGGUGUCGGUGUGGCACUGAGAUCAUCUUGCGGCCCCAUGGCACUGUGAUUUGGUAGCUUGUGAGAAGUAGUUUCACUAAAUCCGUAAAUUUAAGUUAGCAGCUACAGAUUCUUAUGUCUUGACAUUUAUUCGCUUAUCUCUCUUUGCUCCCCACAAAUUGAGUACCAACUAUAUUCCUGGUAUGAGCCAUUCAAGGAAUGUCCAGUCUAGUGGGCAGACAUACAUGAAAGCAAAUCAUUGCUAUUGGAAGUAUGGUUUAUCAAGAUGUACAGCGUGAAGAAUGGAUAGCUUUACUAACGUAGGUUAGAGUUUUAAAGAUAAAUAGGCAUUUUCUACUACAAAAAUAGGGGUGGGAUGGCAAAUCCGGAUCCGAACAGAAAGGAGAUGCAGCACGGGGACAAAUAAUUUGUUGAGAAGAAUGAGUAAUAAUUACAGGUCUUGAAGUUCAAACUUAGGUUGCUGAAGAAGAUGAGGCUGGAGAAGAAAACAGGAGCCAAAUCACGAAUCGUCUAUGCCUUGGUGAGGCAAUGAGUGGACAGAUUACAAUUUAAGCUAUUCUUCUGUUGGUAGAGAACAGAUAACUUGGGGGGGUGGAGGUGGGGGGGCAGAGAAGGAUAAGCAGAGAGCCCACAAGGGGGCCAUUGCAGAAGCCAGUAAGAGAAAACUUAAGGACCCUGUGUGAAUGGUAGUGAGCAUCCAAAGGAGAUGGAUUCCUAAAAUAUUCAAGAGGCCAUAUCAACUGGUAAUUGGUUGCUAGGGGCAGCUGCCAGAUAGGAGAAUGGAAGAGGCAAUGAUGAUGCCUUGUUUUGCUUUGAGGGAGGGGCAGGAUAAGGGUGUAUUUUACUAAAUAAGAUAAGGAAGAGUUAGGAUGAGUCCUGGGAGGGGACAUUUUUGCAGAAAAAAAAUGAGUUCAGUUUUGGAGUUGAUGAGUGAAGUAAGAGUGGUGCUGUCUAAUGGUGGUUGCUAUAUGGGUCUAGAGCUCUAGGGAGGAGCUGGGCUGAAGUUGGAAACACCACAGGUUUAGAUGACCAUAACCAAGCUGACUGCAGUCUUACGUCAUUGAGCACAGUUUCAAAACCACUUCUCCUUUCUCCCUGCCUUUACUUGGGAAAAUUACUGAAAUACUGCAUUAAAAAACCCAAUAUGGUGAUAUGUGUCCAUCCAUAGACCAAUAUUCUAAUGUUUAAUGGUCUUCUAAGGACCCUAAAGGUCAGGUUUAGCAGAAACUGGAUGUAACAGUGGUAACUAUUAAUAGUAUAGCAUCAUUAACUCAUAAAAUGAAAUAUUAUCUAUGUUUAUAUUUUAAUAUUUUAAUUUUUUUCUUUUUUAUUCUGUAGGAAUUGCUCCAUUCCAAUAAAAAUAUUUUAAAUUUAAUCAUUGACAACAGUUAAGCUGGCCAUAGGCUGAGGAUUGAGGAUGGUGGGUUGCACAAAUAUCUGCUGAAUGGAGAGCUAGAAGGAGGAUGACUUCAAGAAGAGUCAGCAAUAGGAACGCAAUGAAAGACAACCUCAAAUUCAUUAGUCAGCCUGUCUCAGCUGCUUUUUGGUGGCUCACAGCUAUGCUAACCUAGCAUAAAGCAGUGAGAAAUAGAAUACUUCAUUUUGAGCAGAGCUUCAGAAAACCACAAAUAGUAAAAGCCCUAUAAAUAAUAGCUACAGCUGCAAACCAAAGACUAAUUAUUAGUUUUUAACUCUAUAUCCCUGUAGAGCAGCAUUUUUGAACACACAAAAAAAGAGAAACGCGUUCACUUACGUCUUAGAUUAUUUAAAUACAGUAUUCUCAAUUUGUCUAGGAUAAAAAAGCAUUUAGGUGUAUUGAACAACCAUAUAAUGGAUAAUAUACUGAACAGGAAAUGAGAAUAAUUAGCUUGAGUCCCUUUUUUGUCAGUUGUUCACCGUAUGACCCUAGCAAUGUUACUUAACCUCUCUAUGCCCUAGUUUCUCUGACUGUAAAAUAGAGAUAAUAAUAACUUUCUAUCAGCCGCCUCUCAAAGAUAUUAUAGGAAAUAACAAAUUAAUGCUAUGAAAGCUCUUUGAGGUACUUGGAUGAAAGGGCAUAAUUGUAAGUACAUAUUAUUAGUAAUUAGCACUAAUAUCCAGUAGCACCCAUGAGCAUUCCUGACUUUGCUGCCUGGAUUACUCAAAGAACAUGAAGGAUCCUGUUUUGAAAUACACUUAGAUCUUUUUUCUUAACUUGUGAAUUGACUUUACUAUUUAUGAUCAAACCUUGUGUAUUAACAAAUAUAGUUAAUGAAAGAGGGAAGUAAAAAGAAGUUUUGGUAACCACAACUUUUAUAUUCAUGCUACUCAUAGCUAAUAUAUGCUUUGGGGGAAAAUACAGGGUAGAUAGGGAUUUGCCAGAAGCAUGUUUUAGAAUUAAUGAUUAGUCUACUCCAGUCAGUUAACUGGAAUUUUGUAUUAAAAACAUUAUUCAUGUCCCCAUAGAAUAAUGCAGUCCCUAUAGAAUUUAUAGACAGUUACAUGUUUGACACAAUUAAGUUGAACAUUCCUGUGAAACUCUGUCAUUCUCAUCACUGUUUAAUCACAAACAUGUAAUGAAAUAUAUAGACUUGUGAAGUUUUGUCCAAUGUCUAUCCCUAAAGUAGAUGAGAAUUUUUUCCAUUAAAUUGGUGACUUCAGUAUUUCCUUUAGAGAGGUGUAUGCAUAAUGUAAACAUUUAAAUGUAUUCAUGACUACAUAAUGUGCAUGUUUAUUUUUAUACACUUGCUUAUAUACCAAUUUAUAAAAUUAUCAUAUAAUGUAUAUUAACUAUACAUCUGGGAACAGCAAUGACAAACAAGGCUUCUUUGUGUUUUAGGGCCAGAUAAGAAAGUAAUUGGUUAAUAGCCAUUUGUCACCACUGGUGAAAAAUCAACUCAAAAUCAUGUUUUAUUAUUUAUUAGAGUUAUGAGCAUUAUCUAUAAGAUUCAUGACACCAUGACUUGGUGUGGUGGCUCACACCUGUAAUCCCAGCAUUUUGGGAGGCCGAGGCAUGUGGAUCGCUUGAAUACAGGAGUUAAAGACUAGCUUGGACAGCAUAGGGAGCCCUCAUCUCUAUUAAAAAAAAAAAUUAAAAAAAAACAACACUAGGCAGGCAUAGUGGCAUUCACCUGUGGUCCCAGUUACUCAGUAGGCUGAGGUGGAUCCCUUGAACCCAGGAGGUCGAGGCUACAGUGCCUGUGAUCAUUACACUGUACUGCAGCCUGGGCAACAAAAUGAAACCCUGUCUCAAAAAAGAAAAAAAAUUCCGUGACACCUUGACAUUUGUACUAUUUCAUUUUGUUUUCACAAUUUUGUGAGAUACAAAUUGUUGAAAGAAAUAGGCUCAGAGUGCUGAAAGACUAGCGCUCUGAGACUAGUUUUUAAAGACUUAAAAAUUCACUACAGUUGUCAAGUAACAUACCCAAACACACAUUUUGAGAUUCUCAAAAUAUAUUGUUUCUUUUAGUACUUUAUACCAGGGUCACCAGCUUGAUAUGACAGUCCAGAAUGUAUUUAUAAUAUGGACAUUUCUGGCUUAUUAUUGAUUGCCUGCAGCAUCUCCAAAAUUCAGCCAAACUUAACGUUUUUAAAACUGAAAACUACAAUUCUUAUGUUUAUGGCUGUAUCUUUACCAGCUUGAAGACAGGUACAUUGUUUUAUUCAUUUUUGUAUCCUUCAUGGUGCCCAAAAUAAGUACUCAGAAACUUUUUUAGGAGGUCGUACACAUUUUCAGCACAUUCAUGUGAAGAUAGUUUAUUUGGGUUUGUACUUUAAAUUGGUGGAACCAUUGCCUCAAUUUCCCACUUCAUUUUUAAUGACGUCAUGCCUUGGAGAGAUAGGCUUAAGUAGGUGAUGCAGAUGACAGUCACCUGUAUGAUAUGCCUCUGGAUAUGUUUGUUGGGCUUAGAUAGUCCGGAUGACCCACAACAAAAGGGUCAUCUAGAAUAUCUAAACACAGCUUUAAUGAGAAUGUGUAAAGAGUGGGGUUAUGAGAGUUUGGGUCUUCAUAAUUCUCCCCUUCAUGCCGACGACCCUUGUGGACCACAUAUUUCUAUACUUUUCUGUCAAGGGAUUAGAGGAUAAGACUACUCUAUCAGUGGUUCCCAAAUGUGACUGCUUAUCACAAUCACCUGUGUAGUUUCAAAGGCAAUUCAGAUUCUCAAGUCCCACUCUAAACAGAAAAUAUUUAGAUUUAGGAUUAGAAAAUACUGGGUGAAGUCCAAGGCAUCUGUAACUGUAAUAACACUCUCCCUUGAAUUCCAAUGAUCAGUCAGGUUUGGGAAGUUCUGGUUUCAAUAACUUGUUCAAGGUCACACAGAACCCUAAAUAGAGCCAGAAACUAACUCAAAUCUUUUGAGUCCAAGUUAAAUAUAUUUUCAUUGGACUCCUGCUGUCCAUUUACUGACAAUAUAUGAUGGGGUAGGAUGAAGAGGUGGGGAGAAAAGUAGCAAUUUUAGUUUUUUCAUUUUUAUUUUUUACCAUAUUCUAUGACAUGGUUUUAAGAUUAAAUGAGCUAACAUCCAUAGAGUGCUUAGAACAGUAUCUGGCACAUGGUAAUUAGGUGUAACGGUUCAACGAAUAAGUCUCCAUUGUCCAGUCAUGGCAUUCACUUUGCCUGGGGUUACAUUAGGUAACAUUUUAUUGGAUAUCGACUUUUUCUAUGAAGAAAAAAAUGUAUGUAAAUAAAGGUGGAAUCUUUAGCCUUUAUUUGUCAUGGAAGCCCUGAAUUUGUAUAGCUGAAAAUAUUUCUAUAUUGUUUCUUUUCAUCUUUUCUGAUAUAUUAAGAAAAUGUUAAUGAUAUACUUAUUAAAUAAAAUUGUGGAUGUAUAGCUGUGUAGUAUUUUUAUAUUAUCUAAUUUAGCAUAUAAGAUAAGGUAUUUUACAUUGUCUUCCUAUCACUGAACUAGCUCCAAAAUUGAUUCUUAUUGGUAUGUAAUUAAGCAUUUAGUUUUUAGAAGUUAUUGUUUGGAUUGAUCUUCCAGAUGAAAUAUUUCCCCUUAACGAGGUAAUAGAUAUACGUGGC